CUAUAGCCCAAUCGUAUGAAGAAAUCUCUUCCGUUUUCAGUUCAGUGGGACAGUCCACAUCGGAAGUUAAUCGGAGAAACCAUGUCGCUCGCCGCUUCCCUGAAUAUUCCCGUAGCUAAACUCUUCUUCCUCUCGAAUUCGCCGCCUUUUCAACCCAAUUCCAACAAGCUUUCUUUCAAUUCUCUUCUCAGACCUCGAAACGGAGUCUCUUCCGUUUUCUCUUCUUCCCACUCUUCUUACUCUAUCCAACCAGAUGAGUUAGAAGAUUUCGUCAUCGGCGAUUGUGUUAUUUUCGAAGAUGGCGUGUUUGACGACCCAUAUGUGUCGGAUGAUUCGAGUGUGGAUAGUUCCAUUCCGAGCACAGCGAAGUUUAAGCCCAAGAGCCCCGUUGUGGAGAUUAAGCCCGAAAAUCUGGUGCCAGAUGAGUGGAAAGAAGUGCAAGCGGAGAUUAACAUCACGAAGAAAGAGAGGCGGAAGAUUGCUCAGGAAUUGGAGUUCGGUACUCGAGUUGAGAAGAAGAAGAAAGCGCUUGUUCCUUUGAGGAGUGUGAAUUUGGAGGAAUAUUUAUCGUAUAAGGAGGCGAAGAUGGCACAAUUGAAGCCACUUGUUCUUGAUAAUCCGUCUAGUUUUCCGGCGACUGAGGAAGUUAAUAGGACGGAGGAUGCUAUGAGCAGGUCGAGCGAGCGUGUGGCGCCAAAAAAUCCUAAGUGGGCGGUUUAUGGUAGGGGGCUGGAGGAUGUUUCCGAGUUCUUUAAUAGUGGACAAUACCAGCCUGCUGAUAGAAAAUCUGAAGGACCUCGCAAGUUAUUUUCAAAAGAGGAAAAGGCUAUGCUGAAUAAAAGGGUGCCUGAUCUUGCUUCUGCUCAUUCUGAUAUGUGGUUGCCUCUACAUACUCUUGUCGGGUCUGGAGAAUUUUACCUUGUGGAUGAACUACUAAAAAACAAUGUUGAUAUCAAUGCUGUGGAUAAGGUUGGUUUCACGGCUCUUCACAGAGCUAUACUUGCAAAAAAGCAAGCCAUAACUAAUUAUCUUUUAAGAGAAAGUGCCAAUCCUUUUGUUCGAGAUAAGGAUGGCGCAACUUUGAUGCAUUACGCUGUCCAAACUGCUUCGAGUCAGGCGAUUAAAACUCUUCUAUUGUAUAACGUUGAUAUAAAUCUUCAGGAUAAAGAUGGGUGGACGCCACUGCAUCUCGCUGUUCAGGCUCGUCGGACAGAUAUAGUCAGGCUUUUAUUAAUUAAAGGAGCUGAUAAGACACUAAAAAAUGCGAAAUUCUUAAAUGACAUCGAUUAUUUGAGGUUUGGAUGACUAUAAGAAUCCCUUUCUCUACAUCCAAAGUGUGCGAACAAUUUGGAUAGCAUUCAACUAAUCUUAGAGUUUCAAGGGAGGUUUGACCCCAUUGGACAUUUGCCUCUAUUCUGGUCGAGAUACAAAAACUUAUGAACUAAUAAAGCUGUUGAAACAGCUUCCAAGACCAAGUAAACUGCCUUCAUAACAGUGAUGAUCACUUGAACUAGCUUAGGCUCUGGAAGAUCAACUAUUGCUGUGUUUCGUAUGCCAUAGUGGUCCAAGUUCUAAAUUGGGUAUGCUACUGGAUUAACGUCGGCUUCUUUGCUAGAUAAUUCUAUAAGAGCAAAUAGUACUGUGAAAGUGACAUCAUUGGAAACCGGGCUAGAAACAUGUCUCUGCAUGAGCGUUCCAGUCGGACUUGGAGCAAAUGCAUCUAUAACAAUGUCUGAUUAAUGAUUAUGGCAUGCGAAGUCCCAUGAGUAUCUCAUUCGUUUUCCUUUUCAUGUUGAAAGUUGUAAUUCUUUCCCUUUGUUUUGUAUCUGUUGUAAUUAAAUAAGAUUUUGAAGUCUAUACGCAUAUGUUUUGUUGACUUAAGUUAUGAACUUAAUUGAUGAACUCGAAGAGCAUUAGAUUUCUUAUUGAUGA
Cucumis melo (muskmelon) is the source of this 1932-nucleotide RNA transcript. It is a transcript of the gene named ankyrin repeat domain-containing protein, chloroplastic, with no coding region annotated. The record is from RefSeq and is a predicted model, not a curated record. NCBI's taxonomy places the organism in Eukaryota, Viridiplantae, Streptophyta, Magnoliopsida, Cucurbitales, Cucurbitaceae. The transcript is spliced from 8 exons.